AGGUUCCUACGGGGCGCAGCAGUCGGGAAUAUUGCGCAAUGGAGGAAACUCUGACGCAGUGACGCCGCGUAUAGGAAGAAGGUUUUCGGAUUGUAAACUAUUGUCGUUAGGGAAGAGAAAGGACAGUACCUAAGGAGGAAGCUCCGGCUAACUACGUGUCAGCAGCCGCGGUAAUACGUAGGGAGCGAGCGUUAUCCGGAAUUAUUGGGUGUAAAGGGUGCGUAGACGGGAAAGCAAGUUAGUUGUGAAAUCCCUCGGCUUAACUGAGGAACUGCAACUAAAACUA
RNAcentral lists this ribosomal RNA (286 nucleotides) under uncultured bacterium. RNAcentral describes it as "partial 16S ribosomal RNA". It matches the Rfam family "Bacterial small subunit ribosomal RNA", at positions 333 to 635 of the family's 1533-position model. The record is from RNAcentral.